CCGAGGAAGGAGGCCAAAGUCGGCCCUGGUCCUCCAGGCUCCUGCAGUCUGCCCCGCUUCUGAGCAUCGCCGAAGGGACUGUGGGGCGUGGCAGCUGGUAGCGGCUGUCCAGGAUCAGGAACCCUCCCCCCGUCACGGGCCCUGACCAUCCUGUCAGGCAGCGCCAUAGUCCCUGUGUGACAGACUGCUCUUGCCCCUGCACAUCCAGCCCUGCGAUUCUGAUAAAACCCUGCCGUGAAGGGGAAAUGAAGUGGUUGCACAAUCCCACAGCCCUCCUUGGCAGCCAUGUCCUGUGAAUGGACAUGCCAACAAUGGACACGUGUGGAUUUCCGGAAGCACCUCAAGGGGACCAGCAUGGUCCUUUUCCUGGCCCUUCCUGCUGCCCCUCCUUGCAAGGCAGACAAGUGAUGGCUGCCAUCUCCGACCACGAGACGGGGGCCACGUCGUGAGGAUGAAAGAGCCGACGGUUAACCAUGGCACCACCAAGACGCAGCCCUGGAUUGCCCAUGUUAAGCAGAAGAAGACGGCUACAUCACGGAUAAGGAACUGGAAGGAGGUCCAGGCGCUGUCCAUCCCAUCUCCCUAUAUUACAGGAAAUUGAGCCCCAGGGAAGGAAAACGACUGGGCCAAGCCACAUGGUGUGUUCCUGGUGGCAUUUGGUGGCUGGGCUUUGAACAUCCAACAGAUAAUGUGAACAGGCAGUGUUCCAGGCAAUGUGACGAAAAGCAACAGAAUUCACAACUGUGUGGUGAUAGACAGUUAACUAGACUUACUGUGGAGAGCAUUUUGUAAUGUAUAACAAUAUCGAGUCACUAUGAU
Callorhinus ursinus (northern fur seal) is the source of this 819-nucleotide long non-coding RNA. RefSeq lists it as uncharacterized. Lineage: Eukaryota; Metazoa; Chordata; Mammalia; Carnivora; Otariidae. The record is from RefSeq and is a predicted model, not a curated record.